GCCGCUGCCAAAUCAGCGGCCCGGGUUUGGCGACCUGGAAUCAUUGGAGGCGCAGCAAAGGCGUCGAUAGGCGCUUUUUUU
Molecule: small RNA, 81 nt
Filed under: Halomonas organivorans
Lineage: Bacteria; Pseudomonadati; Pseudomonadota; Gammaproteobacteria; Oceanospirillales; Halomonadaceae
Description: isrK Hfq binding RNA
Rfam family: isrK Hfq binding RNA
Source: RNAcentral